Molecule: ribosomal RNA, 446 nt
Filed under: uncultured bacterium
Lineage: Bacteria
Description: bacterial SSU rRNA
Rfam family: Bacterial small subunit ribosomal RNA
Source: RNAcentral
GAUGAACGCUGGCGGUAUGCUUAACACAUGCAAGUCGAACGAGCUUUUCGGAGCGAGUGGCGGACGGGUGAGUAACGCGUAAGGAUCUGCCCUAGAGAGGGGGAUAACAGUUGGAAACGGCUGCUAAUACCCCAUAAGCCGAGAGGUGAAAGAUUUAUUGCUCUGGGAUGAUCUUGCGUCAGAUUAGCUAGUUGGUGGGGUAGAGGCCUACCAAGGCGACGAUCUGUAGCUGUUCUGAGAGGGAGAGCAGCCACACUGGGACUGAGACACGGCCCAGACUCCUACGGGAGGCAGCAGUGGGGAAUUUUCCGCAAUGGGCGAAAGCCUGACGGAGCAAUACCGCGUGAACGAAGAAGGCUUUAGGGUCGUAAAGUUCUUUUAUCGGGGAAGAAGAAGUGACGGUACCCGAUGAAUCAGCAUCGGCUAACUCCGUGCCAGCAGCCGCG